GACGAACGCUGGCGGCGUGCUUAACACAUGCAAGUCGAGCGGUAAGGCCCUUCGGGGUACCCGAGCGGCGAACGGGUGAGUAACACGUGAGUAAUCUGCCCAUCACUUCGGGAUAACUCCGGGAAACCGAUGCUAAUACCGAAUAUGACCACUUCAGGCAUCUGAUGGUGGUGGAAAGUUCCGGCGGUGAUGGAUGAGCUCGCGGCCUAUCAGCUUGUUGGUGGGGUAGUGGCCUACCAAGGCUUCGACGGGUAGCCGGCCUGAGAGGGUGACCGGCCACACUGGGACUGAGACACGGCCCAGACUCCUACGGGAGGCAGCAGUGGGGAAUAUUGGACAAUGGGCGAAAGCCUGAUCCAGCAACGCCGCGUGAGGGAUGACGGCCUUCGGGUUGUAAACCUCUUUCAGCAGGGACGAAGCGCAAGUGACGGUACCUGCAGAAGAAGCACCGGCCAACUACGUG
This 463-nucleotide ribosomal RNA is filed under the name uncultured bacterium. RNAcentral's name for it is "partial 16S ribosomal RNA". It matches the Rfam family "Bacterial small subunit ribosomal RNA", at positions 28 to 507 of the family's 1533-position model. The record is from RNAcentral.